GCAUAUCAAUAAGCGGAGGAAAAGAAACCAACAGGGAUUGCCUUAGUAACGGCGAGUGAAGCGGCAACAGCUCAAAUUUGAAAUCUGGCCCUCGGGUCCGAAUUGUAAUUUGUAGAGGAUGAUUUUGGUGCGGUAUCUUCCGAGUUCCUUGGAACAGGACGCCUUAGAGGGUGAGAGCCCCGUACGGUUGAAUGCCUAGCCUCUGUAAAUCUCCUUCGACGAGUCGAGUAGUUUGGGAAUGCUGCUCUAAAUGGGAGGUAAAUUUCUUCUAAAGCUAAAUAUUGGCCAGAGACCGAUAGCGCACAAGUAGAGUGAUCGAAAGAUGAAAAGCACUUUGAAAAGAGGGUUAAAUAGCACGUGAAAUUGUUGAAAGGGAAGGAUUUGUGACCAGACUUUUUCUGGGCGGAUCAUCCGGGGUUCUCUCCGGUGCACUUUGCCCAGUAAAGGCCAGCAUCGAUUUUCGGCGGCGGAUAAAAGCAGUGGGAAUGUGGCUCCCUACGGGGAGUGUUAUAGCCCAUUGUAUAAUACGCUGCUGGGGAUCGAGGUACGCGCUUCUGCAAGGAUGCUGGCGUAAUGGUUAUCAAUCACCCGUCUUGAAACACGGACCAAGGAGUCGAACAUUUAUGCGAGUGUUUGGGUGUUAAACCCUCACGCGUAAUGAAAGUGAACGGAGGUGAGAGCCCGUACGGGUGCAUCAUCGACCGAUCCUGAAGUUUUCGGAUGGAUUUGAGUAAGAGCAUAACUGUUCGGACCCGAAAGAUGGUGAACUAUGCGUGGAUAGGGUGAAGCCAGAGGAAACUCUGGUGGAGGCUCGCAGCGGUUCUGACGUGCAAAUCGAUCGUCAAAUCUGCGCAUGGGGGCGAAAGACUAAUCGAACCAUCUAGUAGCUGGUUACCGCCG
This 900-nucleotide ribosomal RNA is filed under the name Pestalotiopsis disseminata. Its description in RNAcentral is "eukaryotic LSU rRNA". It matches the Rfam family "Eukaryotic large subunit ribosomal RNA", at positions 38 to 963 of the family's 3401-position model. Lineage: Eukaryota; Fungi; Ascomycota; Sordariomycetes; Amphisphaeriales; Sporocadaceae. The record is from RNAcentral.